CUUCAUGUCCUUGCCCUCUCCCCCUGUGGUCGCUUCUACUGGACCAGGCCGGUCAUUCACAUUCUGAAUGGCGUCCGGAAAGAGGAUCAUCCAGUAACUGAGCUACAAUGAAAAUCGAUUCGAAAUUUCAUUACAGAAACAAAUAACCAGUACAUGAUACCUCUAAGGCCAUAUCGAUGACACUUACCUCUCCAUGGGUAUAUCCAAUGAUUGUGAUUUAUUAUAUCUAUGCGAACUGUCAUUCAAAGAUGGUGUGAUAUCCAGUCAUUCCGAAAUGAGAUUCUCAAGAGGCAGGACGAUGGACGUGGACGAUGCGAUUGAAGGAACAAGAAUUGCUGUGGCACGGUGGAUGAGACGAUGCUGGCCUACCUGCAGAACCGCUACUUAGUUGAUCUUAAAGCACAUCCAACUCCCCUUCAGGUGUACCAUUUUGAUCUGGUCCAAAGACGUAUGCAGCUUCGACUGGAUUUAUCCUUGAUGGACUGCGAUUUCAAUCAAAUAUAGAUAAUUCAGACACAACAACGAAAGAAACAUAAUAAACCAAGCCUGAAGUUAAGAACAUGAAUGCGUGCCCAAAAAAGCACGAAGAUCUCACCAAAUUUAAACAUAUGGGACGGCGAGGUUCAGGUUCGAUGCCUAAAGGUAAGACCGCACCGAGGCAGAAGCAACAAGGGCAACAUUAUCAGCAUCAGGUGGAGGCAGGCGACCGCCAAUUGACUUUACAAGCCAUGCGGAGGGUGGAGGGGUGGAGAGAAUCCUCAGUGAGUUUUGAUCGCCUCUUCAAGGACCUUUCGACCAUUACUUAAAAUGUACUUUCUGCAAUGAAAAAGCACUAUUCUUCCUAUUGUGUGCAUAUAUAUCCUCUUUACUUGUACGAGUGUGUGGGUCAGGCCAUAUGCACAAUAAAAAAGAAAUGAAAAGGCGCAUGGGGCGCAAGAAGGAUGCAUGUCCUAGCGCAGAGCCCCGAUACGCAGCGUGUGUGCUCUUUUGACUUUUGAUUAAAUUCGCACGCGCCAAAACCCGAAAAAAACAAAAUACAUGCAUGGUCAUGUGGAAGUUUUCAAAAAAAUGAACAAAUAUGAACUGAAAAUUCCCCAAAGGGGGGGUCCCGACUAUGGAUAUACCCUCUCUUGGUCCUGACACAUAAAGAAGGUCUUUUCUCUUCCGGGGAUAUGCCACACAAAUCUUGAUGAAAUGUUCCCUAGUCUUAGGGAAGUACAUUUUAAUUAUUUUGUUUUGUUUACUUUUUAAUAUUGUUAUUUAUUUUGUUGUUUUUUGCAGUGAUUUUACGAAAUUCCUAUAAAUUAGUAUUAACUUUUGUACAGGAUUAAAAAACAGAUCUUAAAUAUUUGUUUUUGCAAUAUCUGAAGAAUUAAAAAAAAUAGAAUUCUUGGAUCUAUCUAAGACAUAUUAUGUUGAGGGCACUUUCAAUGGUAGU
This is a long non-coding RNA of Drosophila miranda, 1438 nucleotides long. RefSeq lists it as uncharacterized. Lineage: Eukaryota; Metazoa; Arthropoda; Insecta; Diptera; Drosophilidae. The transcript has 4 exons. The record is from RefSeq and is a predicted model, not a curated record.